GACGAACGCUGGCGGCGUGGAUUAGGCAUGCAAGUCGAGCGGCAAGGCACCUCGGUGGGCCUAGGAGCGCGAACGGUGAGUAACACGUGAACAACCUGCCCUCACAUUCUGGAUAAUUCACCGAAAGGUGUUGUAAUACAGGCGAGGAUUCUUGAGAGGCAUUUCUUGAGAAGGGAAGGCGCAAGCCGUGCGAGGAGGGGUUCGCGGAUUAUCAGGUAGUUGGGGGGUAAUGGCCUACCAAGCCGACGACGAUUAGCUGGUCUGAGAGGAUGGUCAGCCACAUUGGAACUGAGACACUGUCCAGACUCCUACGGGAGGCUGCAGUCGAGAUCUUGCACAAUGUACGAAAGUAUGAUGCAGCGACGCCGCGUGAAGGAUGAA
RNAcentral lists this ribosomal RNA (381 nucleotides) under uncultured bacterium. Its description in RNAcentral is "bacterial SSU rRNA". It matches the Rfam family "Bacterial small subunit ribosomal RNA", at positions 28 to 412 of the family's 1533-position model. The record is from RNAcentral.